This 2236-nucleotide long non-coding RNA is filed under the name Rattus norvegicus (Norway rat). RNAcentral's name for it is "long non-coding RNA NONRATT015094". Lineage: Eukaryota; Metazoa; Chordata; Mammalia; Rodentia; Muridae. The record is from RNAcentral.
GGAUGGAACAAAGCUGGUGGUUUCAUUUUAAAUCAGGAUAAAAAUAUGUGGCUUAGUUCUCAUUUCCACUUCUCAAAAGUGUUAUACAAGAAACUGACUCUGGAUCUCAGAAGAUCCAAGUUUUGAGAAGCCAAAAUAACUUCCCAGUGUUUCCAUUAUGUAAUCUGUGUGUCUUGUGAACAAUAUUCUACAUAGAAUGCUCUACCCUGAAGCAGGUAUUUCCUAGAGGAAAAUGACUUACAGAAUAUCGAUGAGGCAUCCUUAGACUCUGUAGCCCUGAGCACGACAGAAAGAUGACAGCAAAAAAGAAAGAGCAGAGUUGGUUCCUGGGUGCAAGUUAAGUAUUUGAAUGAGGUGCUUGUCCUAAUCAAAUAAAUCCCCUUUCUUCAUGAAUACAGCCACCAAAUAAAUUCUCUUAGCCCCUGAUUACUAUGUUUGAAGCGCAGCACAAAGACUUUGGGAAAACACUCUCAAAAAGUCAAAAAUCUCUGCUAUUUUAAAAGUCAGGCUCCAUUUUUUUAAAAAUCAUUUUUGUGUACUUUUAAUUUUUACUUUAUCUAGAUGAGAUCAUGUUUGAAAUGUCACGUUGUAGAUGGGGGCUCAGGAUACAGGCAGUUCCCUGUAUUUAAACUAACACUACACCCAAGCUUCUUUAUCAGAUUACACAAGCAGAGAGAUUAACAACUGGUGUGAGAUUCUUCAGGAAGAUGGUUCACAUCCUCCGCUCCGACAACCAUGUCUUCUUUUCCAGAGAGUGGAAUUACAUGGUGGUCUCCUCAGAGUUUGGUGACAAUCAUGGUGGCAGGCCUAAAUCUUCCUUUGACGUCUUUUACAGAAUAAUUUUCAAAAGGGAUAAUUCUCUACUAAAAAUACUGGACCCUGACAAUAUUUAAUGUGAAGAGCAAUACCCCGUUAGGAAGCAAAUACAUUGGCUCGCAGGCUUGUUAAAAGUUAAUAAAGAAAUAGCUCAUUUUUAAAGCCAGGAGUUUAUGGUCUCUGCAUCAUCGAUUUAAUUUAAGCAUUGCUGAGACAAUCUUUAAUCUCCCCAUUUUGUAAUACCUUAUUUAUGGUGCAUCCUCCUUUUUUAAUUUGGGGGGAACGGUAGCCUGCCAGAGCCAACAGAUGAAAGUGUUAAAAGGAAGUCAAGCGGAAACAAAGGCCAUUACCCGCCAUAUUUCAGACAGGACUGGGGCACUUAGCCGAGGAGACACUCGGUUAUUAGAUUAAUUUCAAAAGACCUUUUACAAGUUGCUUAAUUCCAUUAAAAGAAAAAAAAGAAAAUAAAAAAAAUAAAAAAAACGUGGACCACAAACUCAAAUUUCCUUUCAAAUGAGGUUAUUUGACAAAUGAGAAAUGGACUCAGUGUUGUAGAAAAAGCAUCCCGCUGUAAUGAGAGCUUGGUCUUUCGUGUGAGGCUAUGCUAUUUAUGUAAAUAUAUCUGGCACACCUUCUGUAAGCUUUUAGUUUUCUAUGAUCUAUUAGUUUAGUGUUUAUUAAAAAUAAAAUAAAAUAAAAACCCGUAUGUAGAAUCACUCAGCACUCACGGGGAAUGCUUGUACAACAAACGUCCAAUAGAUCUGCUCUGAAGAAACAUAGGAACACUUCAAACACACUGUGCUGUUCUGUUUGCAAUUAUUCUUACUGCUUUGAAAGGAAGCUGCACCAGAAUAGGCCUUGUAAUAAGCGCUGUGUGCGUCUUCUCUAAUACCAAGCUAAGGCAGUUUGGCGUUCUCCUACUGUGACUUGUGAUUUCUAAACCAAGAAAAUAAAGGCUUUCUGGUAUCGACUGUACUUAAUUAAAAAAUAAUUCAAGUAUAAAUUGAAGCUUAUGCCACCCUUUGAAGACCCACUGGCUGGAGUCCUCUAUCUGUUUGUGUCUUCAGCAAGAAGAACGAAUGGGUGGACGGAAACAAUCGGGCUGGCUUCCAUCCACGCGCCCAGUUCGGCAACUCUUUGUAGCCUCAUGCAUUACAUGGCAAAGUUUUCUGUAUUUGAAGAAUGGGGUGACUCAGAGUGGCUGGGCCUUAUGUUGUAGUCAAAUGACAGAUAACAUACUCCUUGACAUGGCUUCUUUUAUUUGGUUUUCUUUUCUUAGUCUUAUAAAUUUGAAAAGAAUGCAACUUUAAAAAGUGAUUUCUCACAAAGAGUAAAAUAUGCCUUUUGCAAAUCAAUUUUUGUAACAUUAUUUAUAUGAUAUUACUUAAUAAACUGUUUUUUUUUCUAACUUGUUUUUUUU